AAUCAAGCCUCCUAAACCCUUCGACUUCCAGAACGCAGCGGACUGGCCCGCCUGGAUGGACGAAUUUGACGACUACAGAUUCGCGUCUGGGCUACAUGAGAAAACAGACGAAGUUCAAGCCCACGAUGCUUAUAAAACGGGGAAGAUGUGACGUCAUCCUGCUGCAUUCCGUGGCCGCCUGUUCCAGAGACAAGCGCCGAGACACGCGCUAUCUUUGUUUCCAUCAUCAGGUUAUCACGAGAGUCAUGUGAUCAUUCUGACUGUAUAUAUUUCACGACGAAACAUUAAAGAGGGCUUUUUUCUUG
Rhipicephalus sanguineus (brown dog tick) is the source of this 305-nucleotide long non-coding RNA. RefSeq lists it as uncharacterized. The transcript has 2 exons. NCBI's taxonomy places the organism in Eukaryota, Metazoa, Arthropoda, Arachnida, Ixodida, Ixodidae. The record is from RefSeq and is a predicted model, not a curated record.